UGUCUUUUGAGUACCUUCGUUUCCUCGGCGGGUUCGCCCGCCGAUUGGACAAAACUUAAACCCUUUGUAAUUGAAAUCAGCGUCUGAAAAAAACAUAAUAGUUACAACUUUCAACAACGGAUCUCUUGGUUCUGGCAUCGAUGAAGAACGCAGCGAAAUGCGAUAAGUAGUGUGAAUUGCAGAAUUCAGUGAAUCAUCGAAUCUUUGAACGCACAUUGCGCCCCUUGGUAUUCCAUGGGGCAUGCCUGUUCGAGCGUCAUUUGUACCUUCAAGCUCUGCUUGGUGUUGGGUGUUUGUCUCGCCUCUGCGCGCAGACUCGCCUCAAAACGAUUGGCAGCCGGCGUAUUGAUUUCGGAGCGCAGUACAUCUCGCGCUUUGCACUCACAACGACGACGUCCAAAAAGUACAUUUUUACACUCUUGACCUCGGAUCAGGUAGGGAUACCCGCUGAACUUAAGCAUAC
RNAcentral lists this ribosomal RNA (463 nucleotides) under Stagonosporopsis cucurbitacearum. RNAcentral's name for it is "eukaryotic LSU rRNA". The stretch from base 106 to 259 matches the Rfam family "5.8S ribosomal RNA". The record is from RNAcentral. Lineage: Eukaryota; Fungi; Ascomycota; Dothideomycetes; Pleosporales; Didymellaceae.